Long non-coding RNA from Molossus molossus (Pallas's mastiff bat), 131 nucleotides. RefSeq lists it as uncharacterized. The transcript is spliced from 3 exons. Lineage: Eukaryota; Metazoa; Chordata; Mammalia; Chiroptera; Molossidae. The record is from RefSeq and is a predicted model, not a curated record.
GGUCACCACAGCAGAUGGGUGGAGAGCAGCAGGCACCACUGUCGCAUCAGAACGUGACAUCACUGGGAGGAAAACAGGCACCACUGGGGUCGCCCCUGGCACAACUGUUGCCCCAGGCAGUUCCCAAACAG